Long non-coding RNA from Poecile atricapillus (Black-capped chickadee), 549 nucleotides. RefSeq lists it as uncharacterized. The transcript is spliced from 5 exons. Lineage: Eukaryota; Metazoa; Chordata; Aves; Passeriformes; Paridae. The record is from RefSeq and is a predicted model, not a curated record.
GACACAGGUACAGGUGAGGAGGACACAGGUACAGGUGAGGUGGACACAGGUAGAGGUGAGGAGGACACAGGUACAGGUGAGGUGGACACAGGUACAGGUGAGGAGGACACAGGCACAGGUGAGGAGGACACAGGUACAGGUGAGGAGGACACAGGCACAGGUGAGGUGGACACAGGUACAGGUGAGGAGGACACAGGCACAGGUGAGGAGGACACAGGUACAGGUGAGGUGGACACAGGCACAGGUGAGGUGGACACAGGCACAGGUGAGGAGGACACAGGCACAGGUGAGGUGGACACAGGUAGAGGUGAGGAGGACACAGGUACAGGUGAGGAGGACACAGGUACAGGUGAGGAGGACACAGGUAGAGGUGAGGUGGACACAGGCACAGGUGAGGAGGACACAGGUAGAGGUGAGGAGGACACAGGUACAGGCGAGGUGGACACAGGUACAGGUGAGGUGGACACAGGUAGAGGUGAGGAGGACACAGGUACAGGUGAGGUGGACACAGGUCUGGGUGUGGUGGUGCAGGGAACCACGUGGCAGAGG